AUGAUGUACUCUGUUGGGUUUCAUUUUCUAUGGGAAAUGGAACUGGGGCUGGAGCCCUUUUCUUUAAAAAAAAGACGAUCGUUUGCACCAAAGCCGAUUGUGAUGCAACAGACAUCAAAAGAAUUUGACCAGUCCUGUGGUCCACACCUUACAGAUCAGCGACUCGAGCUCCGUGCGCGGCCGAUCAGAGAACUGCAUGUCAUAGGCCAAACGAGCCGAGUAUUCAGCGCCCCCCGCCGUCCAGUUGAUGGCAUCGUGCUGGCCUGCGAUCAGCAUGAUCCGUGCGUCCCUGAUGACCCGCGGUAG
RNAcentral lists this ribosomal RNA (306 nucleotides) under Triticum aestivum (bread wheat). Its description in RNAcentral is "partial small subunit ribosomal RNA". The record is from RNAcentral. Lineage: Eukaryota; Viridiplantae; Streptophyta; Magnoliopsida; Poales; Poaceae.